UACGUAGGGUGCAAGCGUUAAUCGGAAUUACUGGGCGUAAAGCGUGCGCAGGCGGUUUUGUAAGUCAGAUGUGAAAUCCCCGGGCUUAACCUGGGAACUGCGUUUGAAACUACAAGGCUAGAGUGUGGCAGAGGGGGGGUGGAAUUCCACGUGUAGCAGUGAAAUGCGUAGAGAUGUGGAGGAACACCGAUGGCGAAGGCAGCCCCCUGGGUUAACACUGACGCUCAGGCACGGAAGCGUGGGGAGCAAACAGG
Molecule: ribosomal RNA, 254 nt
Filed under: uncultured bacterium
Lineage: Bacteria
Description: partial 16S ribosomal RNA
Rfam family: Bacterial small subunit ribosomal RNA
Source: RNAcentral